RNAcentral lists this ribosomal RNA (429 nucleotides) under Gemmatimonadota bacterium. Its description in RNAcentral is "Gemmatimonadetes bacterium partial 16S ribosomal RNA". It matches the Rfam family "Bacterial small subunit ribosomal RNA", at positions 355 to 776 of the family's 1533-position model. Lineage: Bacteria; Pseudomonadati; Gemmatimonadota. The record is from RNAcentral.
UAGGGAAUCUUCGGCAAUGGACGAAAGUCUGACCGAGCAACGCCGCGUGAGUGAAGAAGGUUUUCGGAUCGUAAAACUCUGUUAUUAGAGAAGAACAAGGACGUUAGUAACUGAACGUCCCCUGACGGUAUCUAACCAGAAAGCCACGGCUAACUACGUGCCAGCAGUCGCGGUAAUACGUAGGUGGCAAGCGUUGUCCGGAUUUAUUGGGCGUAAAGCGAGCGCAGGCGGUUUCUUAAGUCUGAUGUGAAAGCCCCCGGCUCAACCGGGGAGGGUCAUUGGAAACUGGGAGACUUGAGUGCAGAAGAGGAGAGUGGAAUUCCAUGUGUAGCGGUGAAAUGCGUAGAUAUAUGGAGGAACACCAGUGGCGAAGGCGGCUCUCUGGUCUGUAACUGACGCUGAGGCUCGAAAGCGUGGGGAGCAAACAGG